GUAUUAUAAACUCUAUAGUUCUCGUACAACCCGACCUUUCCCUUCUCUGUGACCAUUCUCCGAAUUCCUAGAGGGCUCUGGGGAGGCGGGACCGUUCCACCAGCUCCAUUCACCCAUACAGACCAAUGGAAAAGGAGGAGUGUUUAAAGUGGCAGCAGGAUUGACCAAUGGAAAGCAGCGUUCGCAAGAGAGGUGGGACGCAUGCAGAGAGCGAAAUUCGAAAGGCUGCAACUUGCAGCCGAUUGGCCUCGUGCUCAGAUUUAGAAAUGGGUCCCUGGAAGCAGCUUGCAGGACGGUGUUUUCCUUUUCUGUUUUGGUGGUGAAAGGCAAGUGGGGGAGGUGGCGGCUCUAGCAGUGAAAGUUGCACACCCCUAAAAAGAAAGUUAGCCUGGAAAAUGGGGCUGGUGCGGUGGAAAACGGAGGGGGCAUCAGAAAAUGGGUUGGGUGUGUGUGUUUCUGGAGCGAUGCAGGGUCAGGAUCAGUGCCGCUGAGAUCUGCAGAAGGGAUCUGUGUCUGUGUGCCUCUGUCCUUUGUGGAUUUUGAUAUAGCGCUAAAUGUCCUGCAUCCCCACCCCACCCCCGUGUUCUGGGUGUUCUCCUGGUGCCCCAGAGCACAUUUGUCUAUUCUGUCUACAUUUCCCACUAGGAUCUGAUUCUUCUAUCAAAGAUGGUGCUGGAGAAUCCUUUACUUCGACUUCCUCUGUGUUCUCAACGUUUUUGCUUUUAAAGUUCUGUUAAAACAUUCCACAACAGAGGCUUUUACUUCAUGAUCGGUGACAACGUAUUGAACUCCGUACUGUUUUAGCAAGCUGCAUGCUAACUAAAAUAUAAAUAAAUAUCCCCGCUCAGAAACAAAACUCUUUACCUGCAAGCCUUCUUUCUCUACCUCUCCACGACACUCCUUUUCUUCAGACUCCCCUUUUCUCCUGUGGUUUCAAAACUGCCGCCAUCCAAAGUCCACUGCUGGCACAAAAAUUACCUUUGCCUCAGUGGCCUCGUCCUUUGGGGUUUGAGAAUUGUUGGAAACUGCUGGAACCAUAGUUUCAGGGUCUGGAUCUUGUUAAA
Molecule: non-coding RNA, 1064 nt
Organism: Podarcis lilfordi (Lilford's wall lizard)
Lineage: Eukaryota; Metazoa; Chordata; Lepidosauria; Squamata; Lacertidae
Source: the annotation of a GenBank genome assembly